UAUUAGAAAGCGAAAUUAUCGCAUUUAGUUUCGACCUAAACUUUGACUACCUAAGUCUCUAAUAG
This 65-nucleotide transfer RNA is filed under the name Portunus armatus. Its description in RNAcentral is "tRNA-Arg". Lineage: Eukaryota; Metazoa; Arthropoda; Malacostraca; Decapoda; Portunidae. The record is from RNAcentral.